RNAcentral lists this ribosomal RNA (462 nucleotides) under Bacillus sp. oral taxon B89. RNAcentral's name for it is "bacterial SSU rRNA". It matches the Rfam family "Bacterial small subunit ribosomal RNA", at positions 28 to 482 of the family's 1533-position model. The record is from RNAcentral. Lineage: Bacteria; Bacillati; Bacillota; Bacilli; Caryophanales; Bacillaceae.
GACGAACGCUGGCGGCGUGCCUAAUACAUGCAAGUCGAGCGGACUUUAGAAAAGCUUGCUUUUCUAAAGUUAGCGGCGGACGGGUGAGUAACACGUGGGCAACCUGCCCUAUAGUUGGGGAUAACUCCGGGAAACCGGGGCUAAUACCGAAUAAUACAUUCCUUCUCCUGUUGGAAUGUUGAAAGAUGGUUUACGCUAUCGCUAUAGGAUGGGCCCGCGGCGCAUUAGCUAGUUGGUGAGGUAACGGCUCACCAAGGCGACGAUGCGUAGCCGACCUGAGAGGGUGAUCGGCCACACUGGGACUGAGACACGGCCCAGACUCCUACGGGAGGCAGCAGUAGGGAAUCUUCCACAAUGGGCGAAAGCCUGAUGGAGCAACGCCGCGUGAGUGAAGAAGGUUUUCGGAUCGUAAAACUCUGUUGUAAGGGAAGAACAAGUACAGUAGUAACUGGCUGUACCUUG